Molecule: transfer RNA, 90 nt
Filed under: Alphaproteobacteria bacterium
Lineage: Bacteria; Pseudomonadati; Pseudomonadota; Alphaproteobacteria
Description: tRNA-Ser
Rfam family: tRNA
About the family: Transfer RNA (tRNA) molecules are approximately 80 nucleotides in length.
Source: RNAcentral
GGAUGGGUGGCAGAGCGGUUGAAUGCACCGGUCUUGAAAACCGGCGUGGGCACAAGUCCACCGCGGGUUCGAAUCCCGCCCCAUCCGCCA